Molecule: unclassified non-coding RNA, 518 nt
Filed under: uncultured Glomeromycotina
Lineage: Eukaryota; Fungi; Glomeromycota
Description: SSU rRNA
Rfam family: Eukaryotic small subunit ribosomal RNA
Source: RNAcentral
CAGCCGCGUAAUUCCGGCUCCAAUAGCGUAUAUUAAAGUUGUUGCAGUUAAAAAGCUCGUAGUUGAAUUUCGGGAUCAAUAUGUUGGUCGUGCCUUGGUACGUACUGGCGUCAUUGGUUUCUACCUUCUGAAGAACCUCGAUGUCAUUAAUUUGGUGUCUUGGGGAAUCAGGACUGUUACUUUGAAAAAAUUAGAGUGUUUAAAGCAAGCUCACGCUUGAAUACAUUAGCAUGGAAUAGUGAAAUAGGACGUUUGAUUCUAUUUUGUUGGUUUCUAGGAUCGACGUAAUGAUUAAUAGGGAUAGUUGGGGGCAUUAGUAUUCAAUUGUCAGAGGUGAAAUUCUUGGAUUUAUUGAAGACUAACUACUGCGAAAGCAUUUGCCAAGGAUGUUUUCAUUAAUCAAGAACGAAAGUUAGGGGAUCGAAGACGAUCAGAUACCGUCGUAGUCUUAACCAUAAACUAUGCCGACUAGGGAUCGGAUGAUGAUAAUUUUUUAAUGACUCAUUCGGCGCCUUACG